Molecule: ribosomal RNA, 497 nt
Filed under: uncultured bacterium
Lineage: Bacteria
Description: partial 16S ribosomal RNA
Rfam family: Bacterial small subunit ribosomal RNA
Source: RNAcentral
GAUGAACGCUGGCGGCGUGCCUAAUACAUGCAAGUCGAGCGAACGGACGAGAAGCUUGCUUCCCUGAUGUUAGCGGCGGACGGGUGAGUAACACGUGGAUAACCUACCUAUAAGACUGGGAUAACUUCGGGAAACCGGAUCUAAUACCGGAUCAUAUUUUGAACCGCAUGGUUCAAAAGUGAAAGACGGUCUUGCUGUCACUUAUAGAUGGUUCCGCGCUGCAUUAGCUAGUUGGUAAGGUAACGGCUUACCAAGGCUACGAUGCAUAGCCGACCUGAGAGGGUGAUCGGCCACACUGGAACUGAGACACGGUCCAGACUCCUACGGGAGGCAGCAGUAGGGAAUCUUCCGCAAUGGGCGCAAGCCUGACGGAGCAACGCCGCGUGAGUGAUGAAGGUCUUCGGAUCGUAAAACUCUGUUGUUAGGGAAGAACAUAUGUGUAAGAAACUGUGCACAUCUUGACGGUACCUAAUCAAAAAGCCACGGCUAACUACGUG